UACGGAGGGUGCAAGCGUUGUUCGGAAUGACUGGGCGUAAAGCGCACGUAGGCGGGUCUGUCAGUCAGCUGUGAAAGCCCCGGGCUUAACCUGGGAAUGGCGGUUGAUACUGCAGGUCUUGAAUACCCAAGAGGGUGGCGGAAUUCCGGGUGUAGUAGUGAAAUACGUAGAUAUCCGGAGGAACACCAGAGGCGAAGGCGGCUACCUGGUGGUGUAUUGACGCUGAGGUGCGAAAGCGUGGGGAGCAAACAGG
Molecule: ribosomal RNA, 253 nt
Filed under: uncultured bacterium
Lineage: Bacteria
Description: partial 16S ribosomal RNA
Rfam family: Bacterial small subunit ribosomal RNA
Source: RNAcentral